Molecule: transfer RNA, 75 nt
Filed under: Bacteroidota bacterium
Lineage: Bacteria; Pseudomonadati; Bacteroidota
Description: tRNA-Pro
Rfam family: tRNA
About the family: Transfer RNA (tRNA) molecules are approximately 80 nucleotides in length. Their secondary structure includes four short double-helical elements and three loops (D, anti-codon, and T loops). Further hydrogen bonds mediate the characteristic L-shaped molecular structure. tRNAs have two regions of fundamental functional importance: the anti-codon, which is responsible for specific mRNA codon recognition, and the 3' end, to which the tRNAs corresponding amino acid is attached (by aminoacyl-tRNA synthetases). tRNAs cope with the degeneracy of the genetic code in two manners: having more than one tRNA (with a specific anti-codon) for a particular amino acid; and 'wobble' base-pairing, i.e. permitting non-standard base-pairing at the 3rd anti-codon position.
Source: RNAcentral
CGGGGCGUAGCGCAGCCCGGUAGCGCACCUGCUUUGGGAGCAGGGGGUCCCAGGUUCAAAUCCUGGUGCCCCGAC